RNAcentral lists this small nuclear RNA (142 nucleotides) under Tinamus guttatus (white-throated tinamou). RNAcentral describes it as "U2 spliceosomal RNA". It matches the Rfam family "U2 spliceosomal RNA". Rfam says of the family: U2 is a small nuclear RNA (snRNA) component of the spliceosome (involved in pre-mRNA splicing). Complementary binding between U2 snRNA (in an area lying towards the 5' end but 3' to hairpin I) and the branchpoint sequence (BPS) of the intron results the bulging out of an unpaired adenosine, on the BPS, which initiates a nucleophilic attack at the intronic 5' splice site, thus starting the first of two transesterification reactions that mediate splicing. Lineage: Eukaryota; Metazoa; Chordata; Aves; Tinamiformes; Tinamidae. The record is from Rfam by way of RNAcentral.
CAGGCUUCUCGGCCUUUUGGCUAAGAUCAAGUGUAGUAUGAUUCUAUGAUUUGAGUAUUUUCUUUUAGCUGGUGGUGAGAAGUCUGCAGCUCUUAGGGUAUUUGCCUCCUUUUCUGAUCAACUAGAUUGCAGAUAAACUAUC